CAUGCAAGUCGAGCGAGAAAGCGUAGCAAUACGUAAGUAAAGCGGCGCACGGGUGAGUAACACGUGAGUAACCUGCCUUCCGGAGGGGGACAACCUCUCGAAAGGGGCGCUAAUACCGCGUACGUCUCCCGGGACCUCGGUUUCGGGAGGGAAAGACGGCCUCUGCAUGCAAGCUGUCGCCGGAAGAGGGGCUCGCGUCCCAUUAGCUAGUUGGUGAGGUAACUGCUCACCAAGGCCGUGAUGGGUAGCUGGUCUGAGAGGACGACCAGCCACACUGGAACUGAGACACGGUCCAGACUCCUACGGGAGGCAGCAGUCGGGAAUCUUGGACAAUGGGGGCAACCCUGAUCCAGCCACGCCGCGUGGGUGAUGGAGGCUUUCGGGUCUUAAAGCCCUGUCAGAAGGGACGAAAGGGUCUGGAGCUAAUACCUUCGGUCUUGACGG
This 444-nucleotide ribosomal RNA is filed under the name uncultured bacterium. RNAcentral's name for it is "bacterial SSU rRNA". It matches the Rfam family "Bacterial small subunit ribosomal RNA", at positions 54 to 475 of the family's 1533-position model. The record is from RNAcentral.